CAAAUUCGGUGAGAUCUACUUUAAAUAUAUAAAUCUUAUUUAUUUAAAUAUUAAAUUAAUAAUAGACGGGUCUAGGCAAUAAUUUCCCAAACACUUAACCAAAGAAUUUUUUUCUUAAAGUGAAGUAGAGAAUCUCAUCAAUGAGUUAUGAUGGCCACCAUUUUGUUCAUGCGGGAAGGAAUCAUGUUCUCAUAUUUUCGCCAAUUAAUUCUCAUAUUUUCCCUAGAAAAAGAAUCCUAAUAAUUGAAAAUACAAGAAUCAUUAUAAUUAAUGAGAAUGCUAAUCACAAUAUUAUGCUAUAAGAGCUUAAAAUAUGAAGGCUAAUCACAAUAUUAUGCUAUAAGAGCUUAAAAUAUGAAG
Molecule: unclassified non-coding RNA, 360 nt
Filed under: Hevea brasiliensis (rubber tree)
Lineage: Eukaryota; Viridiplantae; Streptophyta; Magnoliopsida; Malpighiales; Euphorbiaceae
Source: RNAcentral